GGAGAGAUGGCCGAGAGGCUGAAGGCGCUCCCCUGCUAAGGGAGUGUGGGCUUUAUCUCCCACCGAGGGUUCGAAUCCCUCUCUCUCCGCCA
This 92-nucleotide transfer RNA is filed under the name Ectothiorhodospiraceae bacterium BW-2. RNAcentral describes it as "tRNA-Ser". It matches the Rfam family "tRNA". From Rfam's summary of the family: Transfer RNA (tRNA) molecules are approximately 80 nucleotides in length. Their secondary structure includes four short double-helical elements and three loops (D, anti-codon, and T loops). Lineage: Bacteria; Pseudomonadati; Pseudomonadota; Gammaproteobacteria; Chromatiales; Ectothiorhodospiraceae. The record is from RNAcentral.